UUCGGUAAAAAUCUGAAGAUCGCGUGAGCGAGGUCAGGUCCGAGUCCGUCCCGAAGGAGUAGGAGAGAAUAGGAGGAGAAGGCGCCAGUGUGAAGUGUAGAGGCAGAAGAAGACGUAGGGCGGAGCUAGACCUAGGUGUUCUCUAGUCGGGACGUUACCGGUCGCAACCGCCGCUACGGUUCUUCUCGGACUGCGUCACCGAGCCCCUCUUUCCCAAGCUGCUCCUCCGGUAGUCCGCGUACAGCUUCGCCACGUCCUUGGACGGCUUGGAGCUGCGGCCGCUCCGGAGGCCGCAGACCCUGAUGGAGGAGUUGCUGCAGUUCUAGCUCGUGGCCUUCGACGCCAUGCACCACUGGUUCACGGGGUUCCACGAGUGGUACAGGCAGUUGCUGUUCGAGUAGGGGUGCCAGGUUACGGAGUGGUGCGACGUCCGGUUCGGGCCCCUCUAGCGCGUCCGGUAGUAGUUCAAGGGCGGCUAUGACAAGGUGUCGCACCUCCUCUUCGAGACGGGAGAGGAGCGGAAGAAGGUCUGCGACCGGUAGAGGCUCUUCGUCGAGCGGUUCGACGAGUACCAGUUGGGCGCGGAGUAGUCGAUGUCGUAGGUCCGGUUCAAGAGGGUCUGCCAGCUGAAGGAGCAGCCGGAACCGUAGCUGUCCCUCCAGUACUAACCGUUCUAGGACUGGUUCCUCGGCAUGUAGUACCCUAUGUCGUAGCUGUUCGCCGAUGCAGGAUGACGGCUCAAGGAGUUCAGCCGUCAGCCCAACGUCCCCAGUAUAGAGGUCUCCCAGUAGUACUUAAAGGGAUCGUAUGACAGCGCUCUACAGCUGUUCUGAGACGCCGGGUUAAACCACAAGGACGUCUCGUGACCUAAGUCGUUCCUAGUCUAGUACUUUAACCACCGACCUAUGGGAGGACAAGAGUAGUUCUCAUAGUUCGUAACGAACCUCGGUUCCCACUUCAAGGACCAACUUCUUUACCCCGCCCUGUUCCCGCUCCACCACCUAAUGGGGGUUAAGAAAGUGGUACCAGAGUUCUCCUCGGACCUCAUGGCGGUGUUCUAUGAGUUCGUCUACUUGAGUUCCACCUAGACUUUUACGAGGUCACCUUUCUGAUUUCACUCGUUCGCCGAGACCGACUGCUUCUCGUAUACCUACUCACCUCGAAGGACUACGACUAAAGAAGCACC
Molecule: ribosomal RNA, 1186 nt
Filed under: Triticum aestivum (bread wheat)
Lineage: Eukaryota; Viridiplantae; Streptophyta; Magnoliopsida; Poales; Poaceae
Description: partial small subunit ribosomal RNA
Source: RNAcentral